AUUGAACGCUAGCGGGAUGCCUUACACAUGCAAGUCGAACGGAGUGGCGAACGGGUGAGUAAUGUAUCGGAACGUGCCCAGUACCGGGGGAUAACUACGAGAAAGCGUAGCUAAUACCGCAUACUAUUGGCGCGGCCGAUAUCGGAUUAGGUAGAUGGUGGGGGAACGGGUCACCAAGGCGACGAUCCGUAGCUGGUUUGAGAGGACGAUCAGCCACACUGGGACUGAGAAACGGACCAGACUCCUACGGGAGGAAGCAGUGGGGAAUUUUGGACAAUGGGGGAAACCCUGAUCCAGCCAUCCCGCGUGGGCGAUGAAGGCCUUCGGGUUGUAAAGCACUUUUGGCAGGAAAGCGGUACCUGCAGAAUAAGCACCGGCUAACUACGUGCCAGCAGCCGCGGUAAUUC
This 407-nucleotide ribosomal RNA is filed under the name uncultured bacterium. RNAcentral's name for it is "partial 16S ribosomal RNA". It matches the Rfam family "Bacterial small subunit ribosomal RNA", at positions 30 to 526 of the family's 1533-position model. The record is from RNAcentral.